RNAcentral lists this ribosomal RNA (776 nucleotides) under uncultured Neocallimastigales. RNAcentral's name for it is "partial large subunit ribosomal RNA". It matches the Rfam family "Eukaryotic large subunit ribosomal RNA", at positions 22 to 637 of the family's 3401-position model. The record is from RNAcentral. Lineage: Eukaryota; Fungi; Neocallimastigomycota; Neocallimastigomycetes; Neocallimastigales.
CUAUACAUGACUCUGUGCAUAUCAAUAAGCGGAGGAAAAGAAACUAACAAGGAUUCCCCUAGUAACGGCGAGUGAAGCGGGAAGAGCUCAAAUUUGAAAUCUUAAAGGGUUUCCCUUUACGAAUUGUAGUUUAAAGAAGUGUUUUCUGUUGAGGUUUUGGUAAAAGUUCUUUGGAAUAGGACAUCAUAGAGGGUGAGAAUCCCGUAUUUGGCCUUUACUUUCAACUUUGUGAUACACUUUCAAAGAGUCGGAUUGUUUGGGAAUGCAGUCCAUAAUGGGUGGUAAAUUUCAUCUAAAGCUAAAUAUUGGCGAGAGACCGAUAGCGAACAAGUACCGUGAGGGAAAGAUGAAAAGAACUUUGAAAAGAGAGUUAAACAGUACGUGAAAUUGUCAAAAGGGAAGCGUUUGACACCAGUGUUGUUUUUCUGAAAAUCAAUUAAAGAACUGUUUAUGCUAAGCUGUUUAGACUUUAUCAGCUAACUGUUUAGUUUUGAGCUUUUCUUUAAUGCACUUUUCAGUUAACAAGUCAACAUCAAUUUCUUUUGCUGUAAAAAAGCUUGAGGAAGGUGGCUUGAGAUUCGUCUUAAGUGUUUAUAGCCUCUUGCCUAUGCAGUCCGGAGGAGAUUGAGGUCUGUAGCGUAGAUCCUUCGGGGCUAAAUGCAUUUGUGCUAAGUUAUAGCAUUUUAUAGACAACUUGUUGACUAUGAUUUGUCUUGUAGCUUACUCGCUUAUGUUAUUUUACCUACGCUUAGGAUGUUGACAGCAGUAUAGACUGU